RNAcentral lists this ribosomal RNA (492 nucleotides) under uncultured bacterium. Its description in RNAcentral is "partial 16S ribosomal RNA". It matches the Rfam family "Bacterial small subunit ribosomal RNA", at positions 29 to 507 of the family's 1533-position model. The record is from RNAcentral.
AGUGAACGCUGGCGGUAGGCCUAACACAUGCAAGUCGAACGGCAGCACAGUAAGAGCUUGCUCUUACGGGUGGCGAGUGGCGGACGGGUGAGGAAUACAUCGGAAUCUACUUUUUCGUGGGGGAUAACGUAGGGAAACUUACGCUAAUACCGCAUACGACCUACGGGUGAAAGCAGGGGAUCUUCGGACCUUGCGCGAUUGAAUGAGCCGAUGUCGGAUUAGCUAGUUGGCGGGGUAAAGGCCCACCAAGGCGACGAUCCGUAGCUGGUCGGAGAGGAUGGUCAGCCACACUAGAACUUAGACACGGUCCAGGCUCCUACGAGAGGCAGCAGUGGGGAAUAUUAGGCAAUAGUCGGAAACCUGAUCCAGCCAUACCGCGUGGGUUGAGAAGGCCUUCGGGUUGUAAAGCCCUUUUGUUGGGAAAGAAAAGCAGCAGGUUAAUACCCCGCUGUUCUGACGGUACCCAAAGAAUAAGCACCGGCUAACUUCGUG